RNAcentral lists this ribosomal RNA (496 nucleotides) under uncultured bacterium. RNAcentral describes it as "partial 16S ribosomal RNA". It matches the Rfam family "Bacterial small subunit ribosomal RNA", at positions 29 to 507 of the family's 1533-position model. The record is from RNAcentral.
AUGAACGCUGGCGGCGUGCCUCAUCCAUGCAGGUCGAGCGAACAGACGAGGAGCUUGCUCCUCUGACGUUAGCGGCGGACGGGUGAGUAACACGUGGAUAACCUACCUAUAAGACUGGGAUAACUUCGGGAAACCGGAGCUAAUACCGGAUAAUAUAUUGAACCGCAUGGUUCAAUAGUGAAAGACGGUUUUGCUGUCACUUAUAGAUGGAUCCGCGCCGCAUUAGCUAGUUGGUAAGGUAACGGCUUACCAAGGCAACGAUGCGUAGCCGACCUGAGAGGGUGAUCGGCCACACUGGAACUGAGACACGGUCCAGACUCCUACGGGAGGCAGCAGUAGGGAAUCUUCCGCAAUGGGCGAAAGCCUGACGGAGCAACGCCGCGUGAGUGAUGAAGGUCUUCGGAUCGUAAAACUCUGUUAUUAGGGAAGAACAAAUGUGUAAGUAACUAUGCACGUCUUGACGGUACCCAAUCAGAAAGCCACGGCUAACUACGUG